GGCGCAGUCGAACCAUCACCGUGACAGACUUCGGAACGCCGAUGCACGUAGCCACCAGGAGUAGGUAAUUGCAGCACGUCGAGCGGUGCCGAGUAACACCAUAGGGUGAAUGUGGGAGUUGAGUGCGAUUCGAUGCGAAACAAUGAACGAGUCGUGAAGAUUAAUUUCAUACGAUCGUGAAUUGUAAGUCAGACAAUUCUCCACGUAGCACGUCGUUACUCUCUCGUAUCGUCCCACGAUCCAUAGGAUCACGAUCAAAUCGUAGAAGCCGUCGAUCCGUAACCGAUAAAGAAAGAAGCAAUCGACGAAACACGAUCAUCCUUGAGAGCUGUAAAAAUACCUAUAGGUAAUCGAUUUCGAGUAAGUCAAAGACGUCAGAAGACGACUAAGGAAUCUUCCAGCUGGUACAACUUUGCUCGAUGAAAGAGAGAAGAAAAAAAGUAUACGAAGUCAACGCAUGAAAGAAGGAAGGAGACAGAACGAAAGAGAUAUGUAUAUGGGCCUAAGGGUUAAAAGGGGGGUCAGGGGGUGUCCCCCGUGGAAGUCCGUGGUAAUACGCUUUUUUUCGAGCAAGCAUAAUUUUCAGCAUUGGUUUUUUCGUUCGUGGGGCCCGAGCCAUAAAUAAAUGUUGUUUUUACGGCUGCCAA
Long non-coding RNA from Cephus cinctus (wheat stem sawfly), 647 nucleotides. RefSeq lists it as uncharacterized. Lineage: Eukaryota; Metazoa; Arthropoda; Insecta; Hymenoptera; Cephidae. The transcript has 3 exons. The record is from RefSeq and is a predicted model, not a curated record.